CCUACGGGAGGCAGCAGUGGGGAAUAUUGCACAAUGGGGGAAACCCUGAUGCAGCGACGCCGCGUGAGUGAAGAAGUAAUUCGUUACGUAAAGCUCUAUCAGCAGGGAAGAAACACUGACCUUACGGUCAGCAGACGGUACCUGAGUAAGAAGCCCCGGCUAACUACGUGCCAGCAGCCGCGGUAAUACGUAGGGGGCAAGCGUUAACCGGAUUUACUGGGUGUAAAGGGAGCGUAGACGGUGCGCCAAGUCUGGAGUGAAAUGCCGCAGCUUAACUGCGGAACUGCUUUGGAAACUGGCGAACUAGAGUGCGGGAGGGGUAAGCGGAAUUCCUAGUGUAGCGGUGAAAUGCGUAGAUAUUAGGAAGAACACCGGUGGCGAAGGCGGCUUACUGGACCGUAACUGACGUUGAGGCUCGAAAGCGUGGGGAGCAAACAGGAUUAGAUACCCCAGUAGUC
RNAcentral lists this ribosomal RNA (458 nucleotides) under uncultured bacterium. Its description in RNAcentral is "partial 16S ribosomal RNA". It matches the Rfam family "Bacterial small subunit ribosomal RNA", at positions 338 to 795 of the family's 1533-position model. The record is from RNAcentral.